Molecule: transfer RNA, 72 nt
Filed under: Bos taurus (domestic cattle)
Lineage: Eukaryota; Metazoa; Chordata; Mammalia; Artiodactyla; Bovidae
Also listed under: 2 other names
Rfam family: tRNA
About the family: Transfer RNA (tRNA) molecules are approximately 80 nucleotides in length. Their secondary structure includes four short double-helical elements and three loops (D, anti-codon, and T loops).
Source: Rfam by way of RNAcentral
UCCCUGGUGGCUCAGAGGCUAAAGCAUCUGCCUGCAAUGCGGGAGACCCGGGUUUGAUCCCUGGGUUGGGAA